GACAGCAGCAGCCACGGGAACACGAAGGGGGCUAGCGUUGCUCGGAAUCACUGGGCGUAUAGGGUGCGUAGGCGGGUCUUUAAGUCAGAGGUGAAAGCCUGGAGCUCAACUCCAGAACUGCCUUUGAUACUGGAGAUCUCGAGUUCGGGAGAGGUGAGUGGAACUGCGAGUGUAGAGGUGAAAUUCGUAGAUAUUCGCAAGAACACCAGUGGCGAAGGCGGCUCACUGGCCCGAUACUGACGCUGAGGCACGAAAGCGUGGGGAGCAAACAGGAUUAGAUACCCCAGUAGUCCCUGUCUCUUAUAC
Molecule: ribosomal RNA, 306 nt
Filed under: uncultured bacterium
Lineage: Bacteria
Description: partial 16S ribosomal RNA
Rfam family: Bacterial small subunit ribosomal RNA
Source: RNAcentral